This 381-nucleotide ribosomal RNA is filed under the name Placospongia decorticans. RNAcentral's name for it is "partial large subunit ribosomal RNA". It matches the Rfam family "Eukaryotic large subunit ribosomal RNA", at positions 35 to 409 of the family's 3401-position model. Lineage: Eukaryota; Metazoa; Porifera; Demospongiae; Clionaida; Placospongiidae. The record is from RNAcentral.
UAAGCAUAUCAAUAAGCGGAGGAAGAGAAACUAACGAGGAUUCCCCCAGUAACGGCGAGCGAAGUGGGAACAGCUCGAGCCUGAAAUCCCUGGCAGCUGCUGCCAGAGAAUUGUGGCCGGGAGAGGCAGCGGUGCCCCGACUGUUGCUGUCGAAGUUGACCUGGAAAGGCACGCCAGAGAGGGUGAGAGCCCCGUGCGCGACACCGACGGAAAGGGCCGCUACUGUCUUCGGAGAGUCGGGUUGUUUGGGAAUGCAGCCCAAAGUGGGUGGUAAACUCCAUCUAAAGCUAAAUACUGGCACGAGACCGAUAGCGAACAAGUACCAUGAGGGAAAGGUGAAAAGUACUUUGAAAAGAGAGUCAAAAAGACCGCGAAACCGUU